UACGUAGGGUCCGAGCGUUGUCCGGAAUUACUGGGCGUAAAGGGCGCGUAGGCGGCCUGCUAAGUCGAACGUGAAAUCCCUGGGCUCAACCCAGGAACUGCGUCCGAUACUGGUUGGCUUGAAUCCGGGAGAGGGAUGUGGAAUUCCAGGUGUAGCGGUGAAAUGCGUAGAUAUCUGGAGGAACACCGGUGGCGAAGGCGACAUCCUGGACCGGUAUUGACGCUGAGGCGCGAAAGCCAGGGGAGCAAACGGG
RNAcentral lists this ribosomal RNA (253 nucleotides) under uncultured bacterium. RNAcentral's name for it is "partial 16S ribosomal RNA". It matches the Rfam family "Bacterial small subunit ribosomal RNA", at positions 524 to 776 of the family's 1533-position model. The record is from RNAcentral.